RNAcentral lists this ribosomal RNA (497 nucleotides) under uncultured bacterium. RNAcentral describes it as "partial 16S ribosomal RNA". It matches the Rfam family "Bacterial small subunit ribosomal RNA", at positions 28 to 507 of the family's 1533-position model. The record is from RNAcentral.
GAUGAACGCUGGCGGCGUGCCUAAUACAUGCAAGUCGAGCGAACGGACGAGAAGCUUGCUCCUCUGAGGUUAGCGGCGGACGGGUGAGUAACACGUGGAUAACCUACCUAUAAUACUGGGAUAACUUCGGGAAACCGGAGCUAAUACCGGAUAAUAUUUUGAACCGCAUGGUUCAAAAGUGAAAGACGGUUUUGCUGUCACUUAUAGAUGGAUCCGCGCUGCAUUAGCUAGUUGGUAAGGUAACGGCUUACCAAGGCAACGAUGCGUAGCCGACCUGAGAGGGUGAUCGGCCACACUGGAACUGAGACACGGUCCAGACUCCUACGGGAGGCAGCAGUAGGGAAUCUUCCGCAAUGGGCGAAAGCCUGACGGAGCAACGCCGCGUGAGUGAUGAAGGUCUUCGGAUCGUAAAACUCUGUUAUUAGGGAAGAACAUAUGUGUAAGUAACUGUGCACAUCUUGACGGUACCUAAUCAGAAAGCCACGGCUAACUACGUG